This 506-nucleotide ribosomal RNA is filed under the name uncultured bacterium. RNAcentral's name for it is "partial 16S ribosomal RNA". It matches the Rfam family "Bacterial small subunit ribosomal RNA", at positions 29 to 523 of the family's 1533-position model. The record is from RNAcentral.
AGUGAACGCUGGCGGUAGGCCUAACACAUGCAAGUCGAACGGCAGCACAGGAGAGCUUGCUCUCUGGGUGGCGAGUGGCGGACGGGUGAGGAAUACAUCGGAAUCUACUCUGUCGUGGGGGAUAACGUAGGGAAACUUACGCUAAUACCGCAUACGACCUACGGGUGAAAGCAGGGGACCUUCGGGCCUUGCGCGAUUGAAUGAGCCGAUGUCGGAUUAGCUAGUUGGCGGGGUAAAGGCCCACCAAGGCGACGAUCCGUAGCUGGUCUGAGAGUAUGAUCAGCCACACUGGAACUGAGACACGGUCCAGACUCCUACGGGAGGCAGCAGUGCGGAAUAUUGGAUAAUGGGCGCAAGCCUGAUCCAGCCAUACCGCGUGGGUGAAGAAGGCCUUCGGGUUGUAAAGCCCUUUUGUUGGGAAAGAAAUCCAGCUGGCUAAUACCCGGUUGGGAUGACGGUACCCAAAGAAUAAGCACCGGCUAACUUCGUGCCAGCCGCCGCAGUAA